RNAcentral lists this ribosomal RNA (634 nucleotides) under uncultured bacterium. RNAcentral's name for it is "bacterial SSU rRNA". It matches the Rfam family "Bacterial small subunit ribosomal RNA", at positions 249 to 883 of the family's 1533-position model. The record is from RNAcentral.
UUGGCGGGGUAACGGCCCACCAAGGCAACGAUCGGUAGGGGUUCUGAGAGGAAGGUCCCCCACAUUGGAACUGAGACACGGUCCAAACUCCUACGGGAGGCAGCAGUGAGGAAUAUUGGUCAAUGGGCGAGAGCCUGAACCAGCCAAGUAGCGUGCAGGAUGACGGCCCUAUGGGUUGUAAACUGCUUUUAUAAGGGAAUAAAGUGGGGCUCGUGAGCUCCUUUGCAUGUACCUUAUGAAUAAGGACCGGCUAAUUCCGUGCCAGCAGCCGCGGUAAUACGGAAGGUCCGGGCGUUAUCCGGAUUUAUUGGGUUUAAAGGGAGCGUAGGCCGCAGGUUAAGCGUGUUGUGAAAUGUAGGGGCUCAACCUCUGCACUGCAGCGCGAACUGGCUUGCUUGAGUACGCACAACGUGGGCGGAAUUCGUGGUGUAGCGGUGAAAUGCUUAGAUAUCACGAAGAACUCCGAUUGCGAAGGCAGCUCACGGGAGCGCAACUGACGCUGAAGCUCGAAAGUGCGGGUAUCGAACAGGAUUAGAUACCCUGGUAGUCCGCACGGUAAACGAUGGAUGCCCGCUGUUGGCUUGAAUUAGUCAGCGGCCAAGCGAAAGCAUUAAGCAUCCCACCUGGGGAGUAC